CAGUAGCCGCGGGAAUACGGAGGGUGCAAGCGUUAAUCGGAAUUACUGGGCGUAAAGCGCACGCAGGCGGUUUGUUAAGUCGGAUGUGAAAUCCCCGAGCUUAACUUGGGAACUGCAUUUGAAACUGGCAAGCUAGAGUCUUGUAGAGGGGGGUAGAAUUCCAGGUGUAACGGUGAAAUGCGUAGAGAUCUGGAGGAAUACCGGUGGCGAAGGCGGCCCCCUGGACAAAGACUGACGCUCAGGUGCGAAAGCGUGGGGAGCAAACAGGAUUAGAGACCCCUGUAGUCCCUGUCUCUUAUAC
RNAcentral lists this ribosomal RNA (301 nucleotides) under uncultured bacterium. RNAcentral describes it as "partial 16S ribosomal RNA". It matches the Rfam family "Bacterial small subunit ribosomal RNA", at positions 509 to 807 of the family's 1533-position model. The record is from RNAcentral.